GAUGAACGCUGGCGGCGUGCCUAAUACAUGCAAGUCGAGCGAACAGACGAGGAGCUUGCUGCUCUGACGUUAGCGGCGGACGGGUGAGUAACACGUGGAUAACCUACCUAUAAGACUGGGAUAACUUCGGGAAACCGGAGCUAAUACCGGAUAAUAUAUUGAACCGCAUGGUUCAAUAGUGAAAGACGGUUUUGCUGUCACUUAUAGAUGGAUCCGCGCCGCAUUAGCUAGUUGGUAAGGUAACGGCUUACCAAGGCAACGAUGCGUAGCCGACCUGAGAGGGUGAUCGGCCACACUGGAACUGAGACACGGUCCAGACUCCUACGGGAGGCAGCAGUAGGGAAUCUUCCGCAAUGGGCGAAAGCUUGACGGAGCAACGCCGCGUGAGUGAUGAAGGUCUUCGGAUCGUAAAACUCUGUUAUUAGGGAAGAACAAAUGUGUAAGUAACUAUGCACGUCUUGACGGUACCUAAUCAGAAAGCCACGGCUAACUACGUG
This 497-nucleotide ribosomal RNA is filed under the name uncultured bacterium. RNAcentral describes it as "partial 16S ribosomal RNA". It matches the Rfam family "Bacterial small subunit ribosomal RNA", at positions 28 to 507 of the family's 1533-position model. The record is from RNAcentral.